This is a transfer RNA of Loxodonta africana (African savanna elephant), 71 nucleotides long. It matches the Rfam family "tRNA". Rfam says of the family: Transfer RNA (tRNA) molecules are approximately 80 nucleotides in length. Their secondary structure includes four short double-helical elements and three loops (D, anti-codon, and T loops). Further hydrogen bonds mediate the characteristic L-shaped molecular structure. tRNAs have two regions of fundamental functional importance: the anti-codon, which is responsible for specific mRNA codon recognition, and the 3' end, to which the tRNAs corresponding amino acid is attached (by aminoacyl-tRNA synthetases). tRNAs cope with the degeneracy of the genetic code in two manners: having more than one tRNA (with a specific anti-codon) for a particular amino acid; and 'wobble' base-pairing, i.e. permitting non-standard base-pairing at the 3rd anti-codon position. The record is from Rfam. NCBI's taxonomy places the organism in Eukaryota, Metazoa, Chordata, Mammalia, Proboscidea, Elephantidae.
ACAGUGGUGGUUAAGUGGUAGAAUUCUCGCUUUCCGUGUGGGAGAUCUGGGUUUGAUUCCUGGCCAGUGCA